GAGAUACUAGCUCAGCCGGUAGAGCACCUGACUUUUAAUCAGGGUGUCGGGGGUUCGAUUCCCCCGUGUCUCA
Molecule: transfer RNA, 73 nt
Filed under: Lachnospiraceae bacterium KH1T2
Lineage: Bacteria; Bacillati; Bacillota; Clostridia; Lachnospirales; Lachnospiraceae
Rfam family: tRNA
About the family: Transfer RNA (tRNA) molecules are approximately 80 nucleotides in length.
Source: Rfam by way of RNAcentral